UACGUAGGGUGCAAGCGUUAAUCGGAAUUACUGGGCGUAAAGCGUGCGCAGGCGGUGAUGUAAGACAGGUGUGAAAUCCCCGGGCUUAACCUGGGAACUGCAUUUGUGACUGCAUCGCUGGAGUGCGGCAGAGGGGGAUGGAAUUCCGCGUGUAGCAGUGAAAUGCGUAGAUAUGCGGAGGAACACCGAUGGCGAAGGCAAUCCCCUGGGCCUGCACUGACGCUCAUGCACGAAAGCUAGGGGAGCAAACAGG
This 253-nucleotide ribosomal RNA is filed under the name uncultured bacterium. Its description in RNAcentral is "partial 16S ribosomal RNA". It matches the Rfam family "Bacterial small subunit ribosomal RNA", at positions 524 to 776 of the family's 1533-position model. The record is from RNAcentral.